UGAGGAAUAUUGGACAAUGGUCGGAAGACUGAUCCAGCCAUGCCGCGUGCAGGAAGACGGCCUUAUGGGUUGUAAACUGCUUUUGCAGGGGAAGAAUAAGGACUACGUGUAGUUUGAUGACGGUACUCUGCGAAUAAGCAUCGGCUAACUCCGUGCCAGCAGCCGCGGUAAUACGGAGGAUGCGAGCGUUAUCCGGAAUCAUUGGGUUUAAAGGGUCCGUAGGCGGGCUAAUAAGUCAGAGGUGAAAGCGCUCAGCUCAACUGAGCAACUGCCUUUGAAACUGUUAGUCUUGAAUGGUUUUGAAGUANGNAGUAUAAAUGUUGUAGGCGGUGAAAUGCUUAGAUAUUACACAGAACACCGAUAGCGAAGGCAUAUUACUAACAAUUAAUUGACGCUGAUGGACGAAAGCGUGGGGAGCGAACAGGAUUAGAUACCCUGGUAGUCCACGCUGUAAACGAUGGAUACUAGCUGUUUGGUUGUAAGACUGAGUGGCUAAGCGAAAGUGAUAAGUAUCCCACCUGGGGAGUACGCACGCAAGUGUG
RNAcentral lists this ribosomal RNA (542 nucleotides) under uncultured bacterium. Its description in RNAcentral is "bacterial SSU rRNA". It matches the Rfam family "Bacterial small subunit ribosomal RNA", at positions 355 to 896 of the family's 1533-position model. The record is from RNAcentral.